UGCUCAGGAAUGAUGGAGGCUUACCUGAU
This 29-nucleotide non-coding RNA is filed under the name Mus musculus (house mouse). The record is from RNAcentral. Lineage: Eukaryota; Metazoa; Chordata; Mammalia; Rodentia; Muridae.